Long non-coding RNA from Helianthus annuus (common sunflower), 1163 nucleotides. RefSeq lists it as uncharacterized. NCBI's taxonomy places the organism in Eukaryota, Viridiplantae, Streptophyta, Magnoliopsida, Asterales, Asteraceae. The transcript has 6 exons. The record is from RefSeq and is a predicted model, not a curated record.
AAUAUGCGCCUCAUUAGGUUUUUUCAAGAGACUUCUCACAAACCCUAACCAAACUAUCCAUCAUCCCUGAUAGUCAGAGGCGAAGUUCAAGAUUUUCCAACAUGCUGCUGCUCAACAAUUAACAGUUUCCAAACUCCUCAUCCAUAAUUCUCGCAUGAUGGUUCUGGAAACUCAACUAGACGGUGUGAUUUUAUACCGCAAACCCUAAUUCUAAGAGAGAAAGAUUUCAAAGGGGAAUGAUGAUGAAAACUAUGGUGUUCUUGUGCAGCUGAUUCUGGAAUAGUACUCGGGUUUCAAGAUUUUGUUUUUGGUUUCAUUCAUCCAGAGGAUUCGCCACUGAAUCUGAUGUGGACGACGUCGUUGUGAUCGGACGAUACGUGGCAACAAUUAACGCCGCUCAAAACCACCUGUAUUAAGAAACGGGGGUGUCGUUGGUGGUACUUGCCACCAUGCCGGCUGUAUCCCUUCUAAGGAUAGGAGCAUCUUUAUUCUUCUCAUGAAACCCAAGACCAAGUUUGCAAAUCAUGGCAUAAAGUGUGAGAGUGCAAAGAUGAAUCUCGCUGCCAUGAUGGCCCAUAAGGACAAAGUCGUCUUUAAGAUAACAAAAGGCGUCGAAUCCCUUUUCAAGAAGAAUAAGAUGGUUUCUCCAACCGAAACAUUGCCAAGACUUUAAUGGAAGUAGAGAUGAGCGAAUGGUACCUGAUAUCGGUUCUGGUACCAAAUUUCCCGAGUCAACUCAAUUUACGGUAUUAAUUUGGUAUCGACAUUUUACAUUUUCGGUACCGGUCCAGUACCGCUUUGGUACCGGCAAAUACCAAUUUUUAUCUUCAAAUACUGGUACCGAACCGUACUGUACCAGGUAUUUUCGAUCCCGGUAACUGGUACUGAGCUCAUCCCUAAACGGAAGUUGUUGGUUGGUAUCUCCACCUCAAAUGGUAGAAAGUGUAAAAGAAGAUGAAUAAUGAGGUUGUGGUUCCUGAUUUAGCAGGGAAUCAACAUUUGAGAACGAACAUCAAUGGAUUGGUCUAGAUAUACAAAUAAGACUACCCAUGUGGUGUACAAUGAAAAUUUUAAUGAAAUUUGAAUUAUUUGUUGUAUUUUUUUACCUAUCAUGUGUAUUUUUAAGUUAUUUUAUUAUUAAUGUUGAAUUUAUUUUUAUUUAU